This 497-nucleotide ribosomal RNA is filed under the name uncultured bacterium. RNAcentral describes it as "partial 16S ribosomal RNA". It matches the Rfam family "Bacterial small subunit ribosomal RNA", at positions 28 to 507 of the family's 1533-position model. The record is from RNAcentral.
GAUGAACGCUGGCGGCGUGCCUAAUACAUGCAAGUAGAACGCUGAAGGAAGGAGCUUGCUCUUUCCGGAUGAGUUGCGAACGGGUGAGUAACGCGUAGGUAACCUGCCUGGUAGCGGGGGAUAACUAUUAGAAACGAUAGCUAAUACCGCAUAACAGUAGAUGUUGCAUGAUAUCUACUUAAAAGGUGCAAUUGCACCACUACCAGAUGGACCUGCGUUGUAUUAGCUAGUUGGUGAGGUAACGGCUCACCAAGGCGACGAUACAUAGCCGACCUGAGAGGGUGAUCGGCCACACUGGGACUGAGACACGGCCCAGACUCCUACGGGAGGCAGCAGUAGGGAAUCUUCGGCAAUGGACGGAAGUCUGACCGAGCAACGCCGCGUGAGUGAAGAAGGUUUUCGGAUCGUAAAGCUCUGUUGUAAGAGAAGAACGAGUGUGAGAGUGGAAAGUUCACACUGUGACGGUAUCUUACCUGAAAGGGACGGCUAACUACGUG